AGAGUUUGAUCAUGGCUCAGGAUGAACGCUGGCGGCGUGCCUAACACAUGCAAGUCGAGCGAUCUUCUUCGGAAGAGAGCGGCGGACGGGUGAGUAACGCGUGGGUAACCUGCCUCAUACACAUGGAUAACAUACCGAAAGGUAUGCUAAUACAAGAUGAUAUAAGAGAUUUGCAUGGAUUUCUUAUCAAAGCUUCGGCGGUAUGAGAUGGACCCGCGUCUGAUUAGCUAGUUGGUAAGGUAACGGCUUACCAAGGCGACGAUCAGUAGCCGACCUGAGAGGGUGAUCGGCCACAUUGGAACUGAGACACGGUCCAAACUCCUACGGGAGGCAGCAGUGGGGAAUAUUGCACAAUGGGCGAAAGCCUGAUGCAGCAACGCCGCGUGAGCGAUGAAGGCCUUCGGAUCGUAAAGCUCUGUCCUCAAGGAAGAUAAUGACGGUACUUGAGGAGGAAGCCCCGGCUAACUACGUGCCAGCAGCCGCGGUAAUACGUAGGGGGCUAGCGUUAUCCGGAUUUACUGGGCGUAAAGGGUGCGUAGGUGGUUUCUUAAGUCAGGAGUGAAAGGCUACGGCUCAACCGUAGUAAGCUCUUGAAACUGGGAAACUUGAGUGCAGGAGAGGAAAGUGGAAUUCCUAGUGUAGCGGUGACAUGCGUAGAUAUUAGGAGGAACACCAGUAGCGAAGGCGGCUUUCUGGACCGUAACUGACACUGAGGCACGAAAGCGUGGGGAGCAAACAGGAUUAGAUACCCUGGUAGUCCACGCCGUAAACGAUGAGUACUAGGUGUCGGGGGUUACCCCCCUCGGUGCCGCAGCUAACGCAUUAAGUACUCCGCCUGGGGAGUACGCUCGCAAGAGUGAAACUCAAAGGAAUUGACGG
RNAcentral lists this ribosomal RNA (879 nucleotides) under uncultured bacterium. RNAcentral's name for it is "bacterial SSU rRNA". It matches the Rfam family "Bacterial small subunit ribosomal RNA", at positions 8 to 916 of the family's 1533-position model. The record is from RNAcentral.